AUCCUUUUAGUAUAAAAGUAUAUUUAACUUCCAAUUAAAAGGUUCAUAAAUUUGAAAAGGAUA
This 63-nucleotide transfer RNA is filed under the name Macracanthopsis nodipes. RNAcentral describes it as "tRNA-Gly". Lineage: Eukaryota; Metazoa; Arthropoda; Insecta; Hemiptera; Reduviidae. The record is from RNAcentral.